Molecule: small nuclear RNA, 191 nt
Organism: Cynocephalus volans (Philippine flying lemur)
Lineage: Eukaryota; Metazoa; Chordata; Mammalia; Dermoptera; Cynocephalidae
Product: U2 spliceosomal RNA
Exons: 1
Source: RefSeq, a predicted model, not a curated record
AUCAUUUCUUGACCUUUUGGCUAAGAUCAAGUGUAAUAUCUGUUCUUAUCAGUUUAAUAUUUGAUACCUCCUAUAUGUGAAGACAAUAAACUAAAUGGAUUUUUGGAUAUAGAAGAUGGAAUAGGAGCUUUCUCUGUCCACUCCACACAUCAAGCUGGUACAGCAGUACCUCCAGGAACAAUGCACACACA